This 253-nucleotide ribosomal RNA is filed under the name uncultured bacterium. Its description in RNAcentral is "partial 16S ribosomal RNA". It matches the Rfam family "Bacterial small subunit ribosomal RNA", at positions 524 to 776 of the family's 1533-position model. The record is from RNAcentral.
GACGAAGGGGGCUAGCGUUGUUCGGAAUCACUGGGCGUAAAGCGCACGUAGGCGGACUUGUUAGUCAGGGGUGAAAUCCCGGGGCUCAACCCCGGAACUGCCUUUGAUACUGCAAGUCUUGAGUCCGAGAGAGGUGAGUGGAAUUCCUAGUGUAGAGGUGAAAUUCGUAGAUAUUAGGAAGAACACAAGUGGCGAAGGCGGCUCACUGGCUCGGUACUGACGCUGAGGUGCGAAAGCGUGGGGAGCAAACAGG